GAUGAACGCUGGCGGCGUGCCUAAUACAUGCAAGUAGAACGCUGAAGGAGGAGCUUGCUCUUUCCGGAUGAGUUGCGAACGGGUGAGUAACGCGUAGGUAACCUGCCUGGUAGCGGGGGAUAACUAUUGGAAACGAUAGCUAAUACCGCAUAACAGUAGAUAUUGCAUGAUAUUUGCUUGAAAGGGGCAAUUGCUCCACUACCAGAUGGACCUGCGUUGUAUUAGCUAGUUGGUGAGGUAACGGCUCACCAAGGCGACGAUACAUAGCCGACCUGAGAGGGUGAUCGGCCACACUGGGACUGAGACACGGCCCAGACUCCUACGGGAGGCAGCAGUAGGGAAUCUUCGGCAAUGGACGGAAGUCUGACCGAGCAACGCCGCGUGAGUGAAGAAGGUUUUCGGAUCGUAAAGCUCUGUUGUAAGAGAAGAACGAGUGUGAGAGUGGAAAGUUCACACUGUGACGGUAUCUUACCAGAAAGAGACGGCUAACUACGUG
Molecule: ribosomal RNA, 496 nt
Filed under: uncultured bacterium
Lineage: Bacteria
Description: partial 16S ribosomal RNA
Rfam family: Bacterial small subunit ribosomal RNA
Source: RNAcentral